ACUCCUACGGGAGGCAGCAGUGGGGAAUAUUGCACAAUGGGCGCAAGCCUGAUGCAGCCAUGCCGCGUGUGUGAAGAAGGCCUUCGGGUUGUAAAGCACUUUUCAGCAGUGAGGAAGGCGGACGUCGUUAAUAGCGGCCUCGUUUGACGUUAGCUGCAGAAGAAGCACCGGCUAACUCCGUGCCAGCAGCCGCGGUAAUACGGAGGGUGCGAGCGUUAAUCGGUAAUUACCUGGGCGUAAAGCGCAUGCAGGUGGUUUGUUAAGUCAGAUGUGAAAGCCCGGGGGCUCAACCUCGGAAUAGCAUUUGAAACUGGCAGACUAGAGUACUGUAGAGGGGGGUAGAAUUUCAGGUGUAGCGGUGAAAUGCGUAGAGAUCUGAAGGAUACGGUGCGAAGGCGGCCCCCUGGGACAGAUACCUGACACUCAAAUGCCGAAAGCGUGGGGAGCAAA
Molecule: ribosomal RNA, 450 nt
Filed under: uncultured bacterium
Lineage: Bacteria
Description: bacterial SSU rRNA
Rfam family: Bacterial small subunit ribosomal RNA
Source: RNAcentral